This 813-nucleotide ribosomal RNA is filed under the name Ourococcus multisporus. Its description in RNAcentral is "eukaryotic LSU rRNA". It matches the Rfam family "Eukaryotic large subunit ribosomal RNA", at positions 58 to 903 of the family's 3401-position model. Lineage: Eukaryota; Viridiplantae; Chlorophyta; Chlorophyceae; Sphaeropleales; Selenastraceae. The record is from RNAcentral.
AAAGAAACUAACCAGGAUGCGCUUAGUAACGGCGAGCGAACCGCGCAAAGCCCAACUUGAAAAUCUCCCUUUGGAGAAUUGUAGUCUAUAGAAGCAUCCUCUGCAGCGGACGGAGCUCAAAUCUUCUGGAAAGGAGUGUCAGAGAGGGUGAGAACCCCGUCGGNUCUAGUCUUUGCUGCUUCACGAGGUGCUUUCCAAGAGUCGUGUUGCUUGGGAAUGCAGCACUAAUUGGGUGGUAAAUCCCAUCUAAGGCUAAAUACUGGCGAGAGACCGAUAGCGAACNAGUACCGUGAGGGAAAGAUGAAAAGAACUUUGAAAAGAGAGUUAAAAAGUGCUUGAAAUUGUUGAGGGGGAAGCGUUUGAAUGCUGUGGGUGCGCCUAGGCUUAUGGGUCUCUAACGAGCCUCUGUAUGUGCUAGGUGCUGGUCAGCAUGGGUUGGGCCCGCAGGAUAAAAGCCGGGGUUGAUACCCGGUCUAUACUGCAGGCCCGACCAAGGUGUGAAGAGCGCCCUUGUCCUUCGGGAACUGCGUUCUCAAGAUGCUGGCAGAAAGUAUUCAACCGACCCGUCUUGAAACACGGACCAAGGAGUCUAACAUGUAUGCGAGCUGGUGGGUGGAAAACCCAUGAAGCGCAAGUAACCUGACUGGUGGGAUGGCCUGUGCCUGCACCAUCGACCGACCAUGAGCUUCUGCGAAAGGUUUGAGUACGAGCAUACCUGUUGGGACCCGAAAGAUGGUGAACUAUGCCUGAGCAGGGCGAAGCCAGAGGAAACUCUGGUGGAGGCUCGUAGAUGUGCUGACGUGCAAAUCGCUU